RNAcentral lists this ribosomal RNA (513 nucleotides) under Triticum aestivum (bread wheat). Its description in RNAcentral is "partial small subunit ribosomal RNA". Lineage: Eukaryota; Viridiplantae; Streptophyta; Magnoliopsida; Poales; Poaceae. The record is from RNAcentral.
AUGAAGUGGCAGCCGUUCAUGUCCACGUUCGUGCUGAACAAGAUGUGUGAGCACAUCUCUAGUGGAGUUAGGACUGAUAAGGGCUUCAAGGAGAUGCACUUGAACACCGUUGCGAAGCAGGUGUUCGAGUUCUGUGGGCAAGAGGUGUCUGCCACCCAGGUGUACAACCACCUGAGGAAGUGGAGAAGUCGAUGGAUCCAAGUGUCCAAGCUGAGAGACCUUAGCGGCACCUCAUGGGAUGAGAACACUUGCUCCAUAGUUCUAGAGGCAGAGCACUACGCCGGCCAUGUCGCGGGUGGCUUCAGCGACGAGGCUCUGAUGGCAGCUCUCGGCCACCUGCUUGACAACAAGGCCCAGGGUGUUGGGUUCGUUGCCAUGGCUGACGCUCACAGGGGCAAGUGGUAUGCCGUGUUCAUUGGUAAGGUCCCAGGGGUUUAUAGUUCAUGGGAAGAAGCUAGUGCACAAGUGGCAUCAUAUAACAACAGCACCCAUAGAGGGUUCAAGACUACGUAG